RNAcentral lists this ribosomal RNA (227 nucleotides) under uncultured bacterium. Its description in RNAcentral is "partial 16S ribosomal RNA". It matches the Rfam family "Bacterial small subunit ribosomal RNA", at positions 524 to 751 of the family's 1533-position model. The record is from RNAcentral.
UACGUAGGCAGCGAGCGUUGUUCGGAAUUACUGGGCGUAAAGAGUGUGUAGGCGGUGCUCCCAGUCUGUUGUGAAAUCUCCCGGCUUAACUGGGAGGGUGCAGCGGAAACUAGAGUGCUAGAGGGUGGGAGAGGUAAGCGGAAUUCCUGGUGUAGCGGUGAAAUGCGUAGAUAUCAGGAGGAACACCUGUGGUGUAGACAGCUUCUGGACCACUUCUGACGCUGAGA